GCAGCCGCGAAAAGUAGCGUGGGCCAGGACAGCGGGAGGUAAGUCGCCAAGAAAAGGGUUGGGAAGAGCUCAGAAUCGGACGGCUAGGAAGAAAUGACCAAAAGGAGCCUGAUAGCCCCCUAUUCUGCACGCUGUUCCUGGAAACCGCCUUUGCAAAGACAGUGAGAGAAAUCUAACAUGGCUCACUCCAUCUUGCUUCUAGCCUCGCAGGCCGGCUGUCUUCGCUCAUUCCUGGGCAUAAACCAAGCUAACCAUGGGAGAAUUUAUAGUUUAACUUUUAAGCAAGGAUGAUCAUAGUCCCUUCCUUAAACAGGGCCCCUCCUUGUUUGGGGGCUGAAACUGCCUUUAUAAAACUAAUGAAAGACCGGGAGGUUAGGAUUAUGAGGGGAGAAUUCUGCUAAAAUGUAGUAAACGAUAACCAGCCAUUGUUUCGGAGGACAUCGGAUGUGUAACUUCCCCAAUUAUUCCUGUAGAUAACGUUAUCGUAGCACCUAAGAUUGGUCUUUUGAGGCAUUUUUCAGACUUUCGCAUUCUGGCAACUAACUGACCCCACCCAGACUCGUGACCCAUGACCCAACCGCUUCUUCUGUCCCACUCCUCCCCCAAGAGGCGGACUCAGCUGUUGAGGAGUGUAGUCCACACCCCUGUGAUUGCAUCUCCAACCAAUCAGCAGCAUCCAUUCCCUAGUGCCCUGCCCACACCAAACUAUGAAAUACCCUAACCUCUGAGCUGACCCUUCAGGAAAACUUACUUGAGUGGUAACCCUUCUUCCCUGAGGCCAGCCUCAGGUUAAUACAACUGUAUACUGCAGUAGCACUUUUCAGUGAAUUGGUUUUGUCUGCAGUAAGCAGGAAAAACCUGCAGUGCCAUUCAUUCCCAUGAGUGGAAAGUUCUUUCCAUUUAGAGCUUAAGGUGUUGUCACUUUCUCCAAGAAGCAGGUCUUGCCCUUGGCCUGGUGUGGUGGUUCAUGGCUGCAAUCCCAGCACAUUGCG
This 992-nucleotide long non-coding RNA is filed under the name Homo sapiens (human). Its description in RNAcentral is "HSALNT0290897". The record is from RNAcentral. Lineage: Eukaryota; Metazoa; Chordata; Mammalia; Primates; Hominidae.